GUCUCUGUAGUUAAACGGAUAUAACAAACCCCUCCUAAGGGUUAGUUACAGGUUCGAAUCCUGUCGGAGACAUCA
RNAcentral lists this transfer RNA (75 nucleotides) under secondary endosymbiont of Ctenarytaina eucalypti. Its description in RNAcentral is "tRNA-Arg". It matches the Rfam family "tRNA". From Rfam's summary of the family: Transfer RNA (tRNA) molecules are approximately 80 nucleotides in length. Their secondary structure includes four short double-helical elements and three loops (D, anti-codon, and T loops). Further hydrogen bonds mediate the characteristic L-shaped molecular structure. tRNAs have two regions of fundamental functional importance: the anti-codon, which is responsible for specific mRNA codon recognition, and the 3' end, to which the tRNAs corresponding amino acid is attached (by aminoacyl-tRNA synthetases). tRNAs cope with the degeneracy of the genetic code in two manners: having more than one tRNA (with a specific anti-codon) for a particular amino acid; and 'wobble' base-pairing, i.e. permitting non-standard base-pairing at the 3rd anti-codon position. The record is from RNAcentral. Lineage: Bacteria; Pseudomonadati; Pseudomonadota; Gammaproteobacteria; Enterobacterales; Enterobacteriaceae.